CCGAGUAUCACGAGUCGACUCCAAGCGUAUCAAGUUCACUGGCACGAGCUCGAGUCGACUCCAGAUGAGUACGAGUCGACUCCGACUGAGAACAGACAGAAGAACAGAAAGGAUCAACUCAGAACCUAUCAACGAGUCGACUCCUGAAGUGCGCGAGUCGACUCCAAUGUUCACCAAGUCGACUCCAGGGAAGUAAGAGUCGACUCCAAGCAGUCACAGGCAGAAAAGUCAGAGAGCAGUUUUCGGGUCUGAGAUUCGAGUCGACUCCAGUGGAACGCGAGUCGACUCCAGUGGAACGCGAGUCGACUCCGAUGGUUGACAGGUCGACUCCAAAGAAAGCAAGAGUCGACUCUCAGCGGUACACAAAGAAAGUCAGAGACCAUUUUAUGGACUCUGAGAUUCGAGUCGACUCCCGCAAUACGCGAGUCGACUCCAAGACACCGCGACCCCAAGACAGACAGAAAACCAAGUUACUGCCUCUGAGAUUCGAGUCGACUCCCAGACAGC
RNAcentral lists this long non-coding RNA (507 nucleotides) under Phoenix dactylifera (date palm). Its description in RNAcentral is "long non-coding RNA (PDAC_LNC022982)". Lineage: Eukaryota; Viridiplantae; Streptophyta; Magnoliopsida; Arecales; Arecaceae. The record is from RNAcentral.